AUUUGCUCUUACUUCAUCUACCAACACUGUUAGAGAGUUCCAUUGCCUAACAAUGUCAUACCACUGCAAAACCCUCCUCAUUUCUACUACUGCUACCACUUCUACUACUCCAACACUUGCCGUCGCCAAUUACAAUCACAAUAGAAACCCUAAUAAUACCAAACCUGAAAAAAUUACAAAUCUUGUCGUCGCCAAUUGUAAUAAAAUUCAUAGUAAAUGUGAUAAAAAUAUUAAGCCUAAACCUAAACCUAAACCUGCUUUCAACUUCGAUCCUCGGCCAUUUGGUGGAGCAGCAGCAGCUGUACUUUUCUUUGCCCUAAACAUUGGCACUGCCUUCUCCUCUCCAUUGCUUCCUCCUCCCCCCGAAAUUGUUGCUCCGAUUCAAGAUGAGGAUGUUGGUAGCAAUGAUGAAAAUGCUGCUGAAAUAAACCCUAAUUUGAAAAGUGAAUUUGAGAAGUGGAAGUCUAAAACUUAUGCAUUGUCAGUUCCUCUUAAAAUCAUUGCUCUAAGUGGUUCUGUACCCGCUUCUUGGAACAAGGAUUUCAUGGAAUCCCAAGGAAAGAGAUUAAGGCUUCGAUCAAAGGUUGUUGGAAGUAUAGACAAUAUAUUUUCUGAUUUGUUAAUGGUCUUUAAUGAAAACAAACGUAAUAAAGUUGGUCCUUCAUCUGUUGUGGCUGCUGAUAUUGUUAGCAUUGGUGACUCCUGGCUUAGUUUUGCCAUUCAAAAGGCCUUAAUCGAGCCCAUAAGAGGUGUAGAAGACCAGGAUUGGUACAAAGGCUUGAGUGACAAAUGGAAGAUAUACCUGCGCAGGAACUGUGAGGGAAAUAUAGAUCCAAAUGGUGAAGUAUGGGGAGCUCCAUAUAGAUGGGGAACUAUUGUGAUAGCCUACAAGAAAAGCAAAUUUCAGAAGAAUAAAUUGGCUCCGAUAGAGGAUUGGGCAGAUUUGUGGCGGCCUGAGCUCAAAGGAAGGAUUUCUAUGAUUGAUUCACCUAGAGAGGUUCUUGGUGCAGUGUUCAAGUAUAUGGGGGCAUCUUACAACACAAAGAACAUUGAAUCCGAUGUUUCUGGUGGGAAGAAAACAGUCCAACAAAAUCUUGCAUUGCUAGCAAAACAGGUUCGGUUGUUUGACAGCGUGCAUUAUCUGAAAGCAUUUGGAGUAGGAGAUGUAUGGGUGGCUGUUGGGUGGAGUAGUGAUGUUAUUCCUGCUGCCAAGCGCAUGUCUAAUAUUGCAGUUGUGGUCCCCAAGUCUGGAGCUAGCUUAUGGGUUGAUCUCUGGGCAAUCCCUGCUGCCUCCAGAGUUGAAACAGACAAAAUUGGAGGGCGAGUGAGAGGACCAUCUCCAUUAAUCCAUCAGUGGAUAGAAUUCUGCUUGCAAGCUGCCAGAGCAGCGUCUUUUAAGCAGGAGGUGAUAACGGGCGCGACUCCAUCAGCUCUUGAAAAUACUGCAACUGAAGUCCCUAAGGAACUAAGCAGGGGCCGCCCAAGAUUGGACACAAAUCUUAUUGCUGGAGUACCUCCACCUGAAAUCUUGUCUAGGUGCGAGUUCUUGGAGCCAUUAUCGGAUGCUCAGUUGUUAGAUUAUAAGUGGCUGAUUGCCAGUAUGCAGCAGCCUCGCCCUAAUUUGAUCCAUAGACUGCAUCAAUCAAUGAUCCUAUCUUUUCAGCGAUUCAGAGAUGCUGUUGUAUAACUCAGCCUAUCCAUCAUCUGUUCCGUAUAGAGGCGUGCAAAAAUCAAACUGUACUAUAAAAAACAACCAAACCGGCUGGUUCAGCUCGAAAUACUCGCUUAUUGAACAUUUGAUUCAAUUUGGCUAAUACCUGAUGUGUUCGGCCUAAUCUACACAAGGGUAAACUUACUGGUUAUCAUUCUGGAUGUUUCAGAAGCAAAUUAUGAGAUUUAGGUAGUAUAUUUUGUGAACUAAUUGUAACAAUAAAGCAACAUAUCUACUGACAAUGAUGAAGAGCAUGUGUUUGAUCAAGGAUUUUGUGGCUUGAUUUCUUAGAUCGUUCAAGAAUUUUUAGCGAUUGUUCGGGCUUUCGAAGUAAUCUCUUGUAGAUCUACGAUUUGAAAAACUAUUGAUCUAUUUUCUUAGAAUUUCAUUGACAAGAUGAUCAGAAAUACAAACUUUCAAAGGAACAAGCGGGUCGUGUAUGGACGGUCUAUCGGAGUAAAGGGCAUAUCCAAGUCCCGCUCCAACGGAACUCUUGCUUCUCGUGCGUCCAAAAUUUAUGCGGAAUCUAUGGCUAGAUUUGCCGCUCCUUCGAUUUACUUAGCUUGUAUGAUAGUUUUGUUAGUUUUCUAGAUCUACAAAUUGAAAGAUCAUAUUUUAAUCUUGUGAUAUGACUUUCUUUAUGUAAUUUAAUCUUAA
This is an RNA transcript of Mercurialis annua (annual mercury), 2368 nucleotides long. RefSeq lists it as uncharacterized. The transcript has 10 exons. Lineage: Eukaryota; Viridiplantae; Streptophyta; Magnoliopsida; Malpighiales; Euphorbiaceae. The record is from RefSeq and is a predicted model, not a curated record.